Molecule: transfer RNA, 71 nt
Filed under: Loxodonta africana (African savanna elephant)
Lineage: Eukaryota; Metazoa; Chordata; Mammalia; Proboscidea; Elephantidae
Rfam family: tRNA
About the family: Transfer RNA (tRNA) molecules are approximately 80 nucleotides in length. Their secondary structure includes four short double-helical elements and three loops (D, anti-codon, and T loops).
Source: Rfam by way of RNAcentral
GCAUUGGUAGUUCAUUGGUAGAAUUCUCACCUUCCAUGCAGGUAUACCUGGGUUCAAAUCCAGCCAAUCCA